RNAcentral lists this ribosomal RNA (305 nucleotides) under uncultured bacterium. RNAcentral's name for it is "bacterial SSU rRNA". It matches the Rfam family "Bacterial small subunit ribosomal RNA", at positions 333 to 631 of the family's 1533-position model. The record is from RNAcentral.
UUAGUCCUACGGGGGGCAGCAGUGGGGAAUAUUGCGCAAUGGGCGAAAGCCUGACGCAGCGACGCCGCGUGAGGGAUGAAGGUCUUCGGAUCGUAAACCUCUGUCAGCAGGGAAGAACGGUCACUGUGCUAAUCAGCAGUGAAUUGACGGUACCUGCAAAGGAAGCACCGGCUAACUCCGUGCCAGCAGCCGCGGUAAUACGGAGGAUGCGAGCGUUAUCCGGAUUUAUUGGGUUUAAAGGGUGCGUAGGCGGAUCGUUAAGUCAGUGGUCAAAUUGAGGGGCUCAACCCCUUCCCGCCAUUGAA